AUGUCGCCAAUCCUCAGGACCA
RNAcentral lists this non-coding RNA (22 nucleotides) under Arabidopsis thaliana (thale cress). The record is from RNAcentral. Lineage: Eukaryota; Viridiplantae; Streptophyta; Magnoliopsida; Brassicales; Brassicaceae.